RNAcentral lists this ribosomal RNA (801 nucleotides) under Micrococcus sp. RNAcentral's name for it is "bacterial SSU rRNA". It matches the Rfam family "Bacterial small subunit ribosomal RNA", at positions 61 to 873 of the family's 1533-position model. The record is from RNAcentral. Lineage: Bacteria; Bacillati; Actinomycetota; Actinomycetes; Micrococcales; Micrococcaceae.
GUCGAACGAUGAAGCCCAGCUUGCUGGGUGGAUUAGUGGCGAACGGGUGAGUAACACGUGAGUAACCUGCCCUUAACUCUGGGAUAAGCCUGGGAAACUGGGUCUAAUACCGGAUAGGAGCGUCCACCGCAUGGUGGGUGUUGGAAAGAUUUAUCGGUUUUGGAUGGACUCGCGGCCUAUCAGCUUGUUGGUGAGGUAAUGGCUCACCAAGGCGACGACGGGUAGCCGGCCUGAGAGGGUGACCGGCCACACUGGGACUGAGACACGGCCCAGACUCCUACGGGAGGCAGCAGUGGGGAAUAUUGCACAAUGGGCGCAAGCCUGAUGCAGCGACGCCGCGUGAGGGAUGACGGCCUUCGGGUUGUAAACCUCUUUCAGUAGGGAAGAAGCGAAAGUGACGGUACCUGCAGAAGAAGCACCGGCUAACUACGUGCCAGCAGCCGCGGUAAUACGUAGGGUGCGAGCGUUAUCCGGAAUUAUUGGGCGUAAAGAGCUCGUAGGCGGUUUGUCGCGUCUGUCGUGAAAGUCCGGGGCUUAACCCCGGAUCUGCGGUGGGUACGGGCAGACUAGAGUGCAGUAGGGGAGACUGGAAUUCCUGGUGUAGCGGUGGAAUGCGCAGAUAUCAGGAGGAACACCGAUGGCGAAGGCAGGUCUCUGGGCUGUAACUGACGCUGAGGAGCGAAAGCAUGGGGAGCGAACAGGAUUAGAUACCCUGGUAGUCCAUGCCGUAAACGUUGGGCACUAGGUGUGGGGACCAUUCCACGGUUUCCGCGCCGCAGCUAACGCAUUAAGUGCCCCGCC